UGUGUGGUAAAAAAAAAAAAAAAAAAUUCCACAAUUCGCCAUCAUCGUGCGACAGUGAACAAGCAACAUUACUUCCGCAGCUGCUCCGGUGGUGAGAUCGACGCCGUCUCAACACGGGGAAAAUAAUAUUAUUUAAUUAUAACAAUAAUAUAAUAUAUUAUUAAUUAUUCUUUGUCAACGUCGACUUUCAUGAUUGAUACCUACACGACAAUAAUAUAUUGGAACCUACCUAUACAUCAUGAUAUACGGUAAGCGAUGUCCGUAACAGUGUUCGCGAGAACGAAACAAUUAUUUUCGUCAGAUUUGGAGUAGCGGCCACACGAGACGCGUGUGAAAUAUGAAUUUGUCACCUAUAAGCACAAGUUUCGUUAAUCCAAGCAGUAAGCCAUUUUUUGUUGUAUUAAAUAAUAUAACUGGUGAAAUCGUGAUUAAAACAAAUAUAAUAUAUUAGGACGUAUAACUACGUCUUAGACGUCCAGUAGUUCCGUUAUGAAUUUUCAAAGAAUAAAAUUACAAUAUAGAUAUUUUUUUACGCCCAUUGUUCUUUUGAUCAUCAUAUUCUGUCGACGGAAAGUAUUAUACAAUGUGAAAUAAAAUACCAGCUAAAGAUUGGAGGUAUUUUUUUACGCUGGUUCACAAGAUUUUUUUUGGUCAUCGUAUUCAGUCAACGGAAAUUAUGGAAAAAUGCAAAAGGUAAUAUUUUACGUCCGUUGUCAACAAUUAUUUUUUUGGUCGUCGUAUUCAGUUAAGGGAAAAUAUGGAACAAUGCAAAAAGAAACUAUCAGCUAUUGGUUGGAGGUAAAUAUUAACCGUUUAAUUUUAUAAAUGCGUACUACACCAUGCAAAUAAGCAUUAACAAACGCUCAGAUCGAAUAAUAAUACGUCGAUGAAAUAAUAAAGUUGUCUAUUAUUCUCAAUAAUGUGCUCCUGAAGACAUCUGUUUCAAGAAUAAAUAAUUGUUAUAUUGUUAAUAAUUGUGUAAUUACGAGAACUUAGGUUAAAUUAUUUCAUAGCAUAAUAUAAGAUGUAAAUAUAUAAAGGCGUGUGUCGAAACGUGUAUGUUGUGAAGCCAUCCAAAAACUGCUUAGAUAGAUAUUAUAUAAUAGGUAUCAGUGAUCACCAGUUAAUAUUUUUGGAGGGACACUAUAAUAGGAGUUGGACUUCGGGAAAUUUUCUUGGGCCAUCGUGCAAUUUAACGUACACGUUUAUCCAAAAAAAUUAAAGGUAAAAUCAAAAAACUAAUGUAAACCUCAUUUAAUUCACCAUCAAAAAUAAUAAUAUAAAAGUAAAUUUCUCGUUGAGGCCAGAUAAAGCUUGAGAGCUAUUUGGUGACCCCUAUAAUAAUAAAUUCAACAAUUGUACGUUUAAAUUUAGUUUUAUCAUUAUUAUUUUUUUUUUUUUUUAGUAUACCGGGUGUAAACCAUCUAGGCAAUUUUUGUUAUAUAAUUUUGUUGAUUUUGUUUAUUUUAUUAUUAAUUCGGUAUAUUAUAGAGAAUACAUUUCGGGUUGAAAAAUAAGUUUUUAAAUACAAUUUUUAUUAUUCCCUCAGUUAUUAAAAUUAUAAAAUUAAGUACUAUUUAAUUAAUAAUCUAAGUACCAAAUCGAUGUUUAAUUGAAUCGGGAGGUAACUAGCUGGUGGUGAUGUAGGCCCUCCCCCCCUAAGAAAAAGUAAUGUAUGUCUAUACCGUAUCUGUGAAUAAUCCAGCACACUUCUCACAUGGGUGUAACAAUUAUUGUAGGUAAAAUGUACAAGUAUACUAAUAUAGUGGGGAGAAAAGACAGCAAUAUAUAAGAAGAUUGAUGAGUUUUGUAUAGUAUUAUAAAUCAUAUUUACCAGAUACCUACUUGAUAUAAUAACAGUUUCCAAUUCAGUGCUAUUGCAAGUUGUCAUAUAUUAUACCUAGUUAACUUAAUUGCUUAUUAUAAUAUUUUAUAAUUUUAUAAUUACAUACGCGAUACACUGAAUACCUAUUAAACAAAAUGUUUUUUAUAUCAAAAUCAACAAUUUAUAUGGCUACUAGAUGAUCUAAAAUAAUAUUAUGUUGUAUUUUAUGUUUUUAAGUGCAUAAUUUCAAUAUUUCCGAUUUUUUAAGUAUACCUACCUAACUGCUUAUUAAUUUAUAUCUACCUAUUUCUAAAGCAAUAAAAUUCGAGCCCUAGUUAUGUAUUGUAUUAUUUAAUUUCAUCGUGUAUUUAGUUUUUAUUCAAUUCAUAUUGCGUUUCCAGUCGGUAGUAUCUAAUAUAAUAUAUUAUCUAUCUAAUACUAUCUAAUAUACGCACACUACACAUCUGUAUUAUAAUAUAGCUGUAAUUAGGUGUAAUAGGUUUAGGUAUCUAUAUAAAUUCAAAAUAAUGCGUGUGUGACCGGGGCCAUGAUUCUGAAAAAUUCCGCAUUCUGUUUUAAUUUUGGACUGUUUUUCAAUUUACUAUAAAUUAAAACUAUUUUAUUUUUUGAUAAAAAUAAAACAACUCAACUUUAAAAGUUGUAAGAUAUUUAUACAUAAAAGUUUGAAGAGAACUUCUUAAUAAUUAAAAAGUGAAGUGUGUAUCGUCAGCUUAAUAUACGUAAAAAUAUGUUUUCAUGAGAAAAAGAAUUCGAAUUCGAGUUGAAUAUACAACAGUUGAACAGUCCACAUUUCUAAAUAUAAAUCACAUAUAAUAAAUUUCUUAUGUUGAAACUAAUCUAUAAUGUUUUAACGGUCCGCUGCAAUUUCCGGUGGGUUCGUAUUUAUGUACUCGUACAUUAAUAGUUUCAAUUCGUACUAGAUACCUGAUACCUAUGCGUCUAUAAUUCAGUAAUACGUAGUGUGGGAUAUCCCGUAAACGAUUAUUGAUAUAUUUUCAUCUUUACCUACAACAUAAUUAUUAUCUCAUUAGGCCACAAAUUGAUUUUGUCAAUUUCGUGUUUAUCCGUGUCGCGGUCGAUCGUUUGUCAUAAAUAGAUGUCAGAUAUAAUAAAAAUAUCAAAUAAUAUACAUUUGCAUAGGUAAUCAUAAAUAGUGAAAAUAUUGUCGGACUACCCCUACUUCUUCGUAUAAAAUACUGUACUUACCUAUCUCUGUAAAAAAACAUUUAUUUAGUUUUUCUUCGAUUUAUACAAAAUACAAAUACCUAUAAAUACUAAAUUAUAAAUUAUCAACGUAUGUUCAACAUUUUUAGAUUCUGAGCGAAGCGAUGAAUGUAUUGAUUUUACAAUGAUGUGUGUUUUUUUUUUAUUUUUUUUAUUUUUGUGUCUGUCAUCACCUUUUAGGACAGUAAAAGUGCUUGGAUUUUCUUCAACAGUAACUUUUCUGAUAGGAAAGUGAA
Molecule: long non-coding RNA, 3306 nt
Organism: Metopolophium dirhodum (rose-grain aphid)
Lineage: Eukaryota; Metazoa; Arthropoda; Insecta; Hemiptera; Aphididae
Exons: 4
Source: RefSeq, a predicted model, not a curated record